This 253-nucleotide ribosomal RNA is filed under the name uncultured bacterium. RNAcentral's name for it is "partial 16S ribosomal RNA". It matches the Rfam family "Bacterial small subunit ribosomal RNA", at positions 524 to 776 of the family's 1533-position model. The record is from RNAcentral.
UACGGAGGGAGCUAGCGUUGUUCGGAAUUACUGGGCGUAAAGCGCGCGUAGGCGGCUUUGUAAGUUAGAGGUGAAAGCCCGGAGCUCAACUCCGGAACUGCCUUUAAAACUGCAUCGCUUGAAUCCAGGAGAGGUGAGUGGAAUUCCGAGUGUAGAGGUGAAAUUCGUAGAUAUUCGGAAGAACACCAGUGGCGAAGGCGGCUCACUGGACUGGUAUUGACGCUGAGGUACGAAAGCGUGGGGAGCAAACAGG